This 632-nucleotide ribosomal RNA is filed under the name Prevotella nigrescens. RNAcentral describes it as "bacterial SSU rRNA". It matches the Rfam family "Bacterial small subunit ribosomal RNA", at positions 803 to 1438 of the family's 1533-position model. Lineage: Bacteria; Pseudomonadati; Bacteroidota; Bacteroidia; Bacteroidales; Prevotellaceae. The record is from RNAcentral.
UAAACGAUGGAUGCCCGCCGUUGGCGCCCUGCGCCUGCGGCCAAGCGAAAGCAUUAAGCAUCCCACCUGGGGAGUACGCCGGCAACGGUGAAACUCAAAGGAAUUGACGGGGGCCCGCACAAGCGGAGGAACAUGUGGUUUAAUUCGAUGAUACGCGAGGAACCUUACCCGGGCUUGAAUUGCAGUCGCUGCCCACAGAGACGUGGGCUUCCCUUCGGGGCGUCUGUGAAGGUGCUGCAUGGUUGUCGUCAGCUCGUGCCGUGAGGUGUCGGCUUAAGUGCCAUAACGAGCGCAACCCCCUUUCCCAGUUGCCAUCGGGUGAUGCCGGGCACUCUGGGGACACUGCCACCGCAAGGUGCGAGGAAGGUGGGGAUGACGUCAAAUCAGCACGGCCCUUACGUCCGGGGCUACACACGUGUUACAAUGGCCGGUACAGAGGGACGGUGCAAUGCAAGUUGCAUCCAAUCUUGAAAUCCGGUCCCAGUUCGGACUGGGGUCUGCAACCCGACCCCACGAAGCUGGAUUCGCUAGUAAUCGCGCAUCAGCCAUGGCGCGGUGAAUACGUUCCCGGGCCUUGUACACACCGCCCGUCAAGCCAUGAAAGCCGGGGGUGCCUGAAGUUCGUGACCGCG